UACGUAGGGUGCAAGCGUUGUCCGGAAUUAUUGGGCGUAAAGAGCUCGUAGGCGGUCUGUCACGUCUGCUGUGAAAACUCGGGGCUUAACCCCGGGCCUGCAGUGGGUACGGGCAGACUAGAGUGCGGUAGGGGAGACUGGAAUUCCUGGUGUAGCGGUGAAAUGCGCAGAUAUCCGGAAGAACACCGGUGGCGAAGGCGGGUCUCUGGGCCGAUACUGACGCUGAGGAGCGAAAGCGUGGGGAGCAAACAGG
This 253-nucleotide ribosomal RNA is filed under the name uncultured bacterium. RNAcentral's name for it is "partial 16S ribosomal RNA". It matches the Rfam family "Bacterial small subunit ribosomal RNA", at positions 524 to 776 of the family's 1533-position model. The record is from RNAcentral.